AACGAACGCUGGCGGCAGGCCUAACACAUGCAAGUCGAGCGCCCCGCAAGGGGAGCGGCGGACGGGUGAGUAACACGUGGGAAUUUUCCUCAAGGUACGGAACAACUCAGGGAAACUUGGGCUAAUACCGUAUGAUGCAGAGAUGCCAAAGAUUUAUCGCCUUGGGAUAAGCCCGCGUCAGAUUAGGUAGUUGGUGGGGUAAUGGCCUACCAAGCCUGUGAUCUGUAGCUGGUCUGAGAGGACGAUCAGCCACAUUGGGACUGAGACACGGCCCAAACUCCUACGGGAGGCAGCAGUGGGGAAUCUUGCGCAAUGGGCGAAAGCCCGACGCAGCCAUGCCGCGUGAAUGAUGAAGGUCUUAGGAUUGUAAAGUUCUUUAGCCUGUGACGAUGAUGACGGUUACAGGAGAAUAAGCCCCGGCUAACUUCGUGCCAGCAGCCGCCGUAA
RNAcentral lists this ribosomal RNA (447 nucleotides) under uncultured bacterium. Its description in RNAcentral is "partial 16S ribosomal RNA". It matches the Rfam family "Bacterial small subunit ribosomal RNA", at positions 29 to 523 of the family's 1533-position model. The record is from RNAcentral.